GAUGAAGAACGCAGCGAAAUGCGAUAAGUAAUGUGAAUUGCAGAAUUCAGUGAAUCAUCGAAUCUUUGAACGCACAUUGCGCCCCCUGGUAUUCCGGGGGGCAUGCCUGUCCGAGCGUCAUUACAACCCUCAAGCUCAGCUUGGUAUUGGGCCCCGCCGCUCCGGCGGGCCCUAAAAUCAGUGGCGGUGCCGUCCGGCUCCGAGCGUAGUAAUUCUUCUCGCUCUGGAGGUCCGGUCGUGUGCUCGCCAGCAACCCCCAAUUUUUUUCAGGUUGACCUCGGAUCAGGUAGGGAUACCCGCUGAACUUAAGCAUAUCAAUAAGCGGAGGA
Molecule: unclassified non-coding RNA, 329 nt
Filed under: soil metagenome
Description: partial contains 5.8S ribosomal RNA, internal transcribed spacer 2, and large subunit ribosomal RNA
Rfam family: 5.8S ribosomal RNA (bases 1-120)
Source: RNAcentral